RNAcentral lists this ribosomal RNA (497 nucleotides) under uncultured bacterium. RNAcentral describes it as "partial 16S ribosomal RNA". It matches the Rfam family "Bacterial small subunit ribosomal RNA", at positions 28 to 507 of the family's 1533-position model. The record is from RNAcentral.
GAUGAACGCUGGCGGCGUGCCUAAUACAUGCAAGUCGAGCGAACAGAUGCGGAGCUUGCUCCUCUGACGUUAGCGGCGGACGGGUGAGUAACACGUGUAUAACCUACCUAUAAGACUGGGAUAACUUCGGGAAACCGGCGCUAAUACCGGAUAAUAUAUUGCACCGCAUGGUUCAAUAGUGAAAGACGGUUUUGCUGUCACUUAUAGAUGGAUCCGCGCCGCAUUAGCUAGUUGGUAAGGUAACGGCUUACCAAGGCAACGAUGCGUAGCCGACGUGAGAGGGGGAUCGGCCGCCUUGGAACGGGGACGGGGUCCAGACGACUACGGGAGGCAGCAGUAGGGAAUCGUCCGCAAUGGGCGAAAGCCUGACGGAGCAACGCCGCGUGAGUGAUGAAGGUCUUCGGAUCGUAAAACUCUGUUAUUAGGGAAGAACAAAUGUGUAAGUAACUAUGCACGUCUUGACGGUACCUAAUCAGAAAGCCACGGCUAACUACGUG